This 253-nucleotide ribosomal RNA is filed under the name uncultured prokaryote. RNAcentral describes it as "partial 16S ribosomal RNA". It matches the Rfam family "Bacterial small subunit ribosomal RNA", at positions 525 to 777 of the family's 1533-position model. The record is from RNAcentral.
ACGUAGGAGGCGAGCGUUGUCCGGAAUCAUUGGGCGUAAAGAGCGCGCAGGCGGCUUGGCAAGUCGGGUGUGAAAUCCCGAGGCUCAACCUCGGGUCUGCAGUCGAUACGAGCAAACUAGAGUGUUGCAGGGGAGACUGGAAUUCCUGGUGUAGCGGUGAAAUGCGCAGAUAUCAGGAGGAACACCGGUGGCGAAGGCGGGUCUCUGGGCAACAACUGACGCUGAGGAGCGAAAGCGUGGGGAGCGAACAGGA